UAGGGAAUCUUCCGCAAUGGGCGAAAGCUUGACGGAGCAACGCCGCGUGAGUGAUGAAGGUCUUCGGAUCGUAAAACUCUGUUAUUAGGGAAGAACAAAUGUGUAAGUAACUAUGCACGUCUUGACGGUACCUAAUCAGAAAGCCACGGCUAACUACGUGCCAGCAGCCGCGGAAAUACGUAGGUGGCAAGCGUUAUCCGGAAUUAUUGGGCGUAAAGCGCGCGUAGGCGGUUUUUUAAGUCUGAUGUGAAAGCCCACGGCUCAACCGUGGAGGGUCAUUGGAAACUGGAAAACUUGAGUGCAGAAGAGGAAAGUGGAAUUCCAUGUGUAGCGGUGAAAUGCGCAGAGAUAUGGAGGAACACCAGUGGCGAAGGCGACUUUCUGGUCUGUAACUGACGCUGAUGUGCGAAAGCGUGGGGAUCAAACAGG
This 429-nucleotide ribosomal RNA is filed under the name Actinomycetes bacterium. Its description in RNAcentral is "Actinobacteria bacterium partial 16S ribosomal RNA". It matches the Rfam family "Bacterial small subunit ribosomal RNA", at positions 355 to 776 of the family's 1533-position model. Lineage: Bacteria; Bacillati; Actinomycetota; Actinomycetes. The record is from RNAcentral.